AGUGAACGCUGGCGGUAGACCUAACACAUGCAAGUCGAACGGCAGCACAGGAGAGCUUGCUCUCUGGGUGGCGAGUGGCGGACGGGUGAGGAAUACAUCGGAAUCUACUUUUUCGUGGGGGAUAACGUAGGGAAACUUACGCUAAUACCGCAUACGACCUACGGGUGAAAGCAGGGGACCUUCGGGCCUUGCGCGAUUGAAUGAGCCGAUGUCGGAUUAGCUAGUUGGCGGGGUAAAGGCCCACCAAGGCGACGAUCCGUAGCUGGUCUGAGAGAAUGAUCAGCCACACUGGAACUGAGACACGGUCCAGACUCCUACGGGAGGCAGCAGUGGGGAAUAUUGGACAAUGGGCGCAAGCCUGAUCCAGCCAUACCGCGUGGGUGAAGAAGGCCCUCGGGUUGUAAAGCCCUUUUGUUGGGAAAGAAAUCCAGCUGGCUAAUACCCGGUUGGGAUGACGGUACCCAAAGAAUAAGCACCGGCUAACUUCGUGCCAGCAGCCGCGGUAA
Molecule: ribosomal RNA, 506 nt
Filed under: uncultured bacterium
Lineage: Bacteria
Description: partial 16S ribosomal RNA
Rfam family: Bacterial small subunit ribosomal RNA
Source: RNAcentral